This 443-nucleotide ribosomal RNA is filed under the name uncultured bacterium. RNAcentral's name for it is "partial 16S ribosomal RNA". It matches the Rfam family "Bacterial small subunit ribosomal RNA", at positions 338 to 795 of the family's 1533-position model. The record is from RNAcentral.
CCUACGGGAGGCAGCAGUGGGGAAUAUUGCACAAUGGGGGAAACCCUGAUGCAGCGACGCCGCGUGAGUGAAGAAGUAUUUCGGUAUGUAAAGCUCUAUCAGCAGGGAAGAAAGAAAUGACGGUACCUGACUAAGAAGCCCCGGCUAACUACGUGCCAGCAGCCGCGGUAAUACGUAGGGGGCAAGCGUUAUCCGGAUUUACUGGGUGUAAAGGGAGCGUAGACGGCGAUGCAAGUCUGAAGUGAAAGGCGGGGGCCCAACCCCCGGACUGCUUUGGAAACUGUAUGGCUGGAGUGCAGGGGAGGUAAGUGGAAUUCCUAGUGUAGCGGUGAAAUGCGUAGAUAUUAGGAGGAACACCAGUGGCGAAGGCGGCUUACUGGACUGUAACUGACGUUGAGGCUCGAAAGCGUGGGGAGCAAACAGGAUUAGAUACCCCAGUAGUC